RNAcentral lists this ribosomal RNA (467 nucleotides) under uncultured bacterium. Its description in RNAcentral is "partial 16S ribosomal RNA". It matches the Rfam family "Bacterial small subunit ribosomal RNA", at positions 28 to 507 of the family's 1533-position model. The record is from RNAcentral.
GAUGAACGCUGGCGGCGUGCUUAACACAUGCAAGUCGAACGGAAAGGCCCAAGCUUGCUUGGGUACUCGAGUGGCGAACGGGUGAGUAACACGUGGGUGAUCUGCCCUGCACUUCGGGAUAAGCCUGGGAAACUGGGUCUAAUACCGGAUAGGACCACUUCUUGGAUGUUGUGGUGGAAAGUUUUUUCGGUGUGGGAUGAGCUCGCGGCCUAUCAGCUUGUUGGUGGGGUAAUGGCCUACCAAGGCGUCGACGGGUAGCCGGCCUGAGAGGGUGUACGGCCACAUUGGGACUGAGAUACGGCCCAGACUCCUACGGGAGGCAGCAGUGGGGAAUAUUGCACAAUGGGCGCAAGCCUGAUGCAGCGACGCUGCGUGGGGGAUGACGGCCUUCGGGUUGUAAACUCCUUUCGCUAGGGACGAAGCGUUUUGUGACGGUACCUGGAGAAGAAGCACCGGCUAACUACGUG